Molecule: long non-coding RNA, 685 nt
Organism: Cygnus olor (mute swan)
Lineage: Eukaryota; Metazoa; Chordata; Aves; Anseriformes; Anatidae
Exons: 3
Source: RefSeq, a predicted model, not a curated record
AGGAGAAACACCUAGGACUAAGGAAGGCCUCAGAGAAGGGAUCCAAAAGCAUCUCCAGAUAAUUUUGUUCUUGACAUCCUCAUUUCCUCUGAGUUUUUCUUAUGAAAAUGUUUUCUCUAUAGACUGUGGCAAUAUUUUACCUGAGACAAACAACUACAUUUCUGCAAACUGUUUUUAUCCACAAAAGGACGUGGGUGAACCGUGGGCAGCAUUAUUGUGACUAGUGUUCAAUUUCAGGAGUAGUAUUCACAAACUCAGCUGCAUACCCACACUUCCCUGGAAUGAGUGAAAAUCUACAGAGUCCAGGAGUGAGAUGGGUAAAUCCCAGCACAUUGGCUGGAUGCCUACAUUGAAUUUCCAGAAGAAUGAGGAGAUGGCUGCAGGUUUUUUUUGGCUUAGAUGUCGCCUCUGGAAGACGGAGACAAGAUACUGUAUGUGCAGUUGAAAUAGUUUUUUUUUCAGUAUGGUACUGCAAGCCCCACCAUUGAUUCAUUUCUAUACAACUCGAGUAUGAAUCUUGCAGGAACUUAAAGUGCUCAAAACACAACAUUCACCUUGAGGUGAACAGUAUGCCUUUGCCCCAAAUGGGAACACUGCAGCAAGCUUUUAGAUCGCUAUUGCUUUUGUAUCGCUAUUGCUUUUGUAUGGAUUCAAUUUAUGAAAUGAUGAUCAUUCCAGGAAAGAA